RNAcentral lists this ribosomal RNA (343 nucleotides) under uncultured bacterium. Its description in RNAcentral is "bacterial SSU rRNA". It matches the Rfam family "Bacterial small subunit ribosomal RNA", at positions 466 to 793 of the family's 1533-position model. The record is from RNAcentral.
CAUUUGACGUUAGCUGCAGAAGAAGCACCGGCUAACUCCGUGCCAGCAGCCGCGGUAAUACGGAGGGUGCGAGACGUUAAUCGGUAAUUACGUGGGACGUAAAGCGCAUGCAGGUGGUUUAGUUAAGUCAGAUGUAGAAACGGCCCGGGGCUACAACCGUACGGUAAUUGCUAUUUAGAAACGUGGACAAACUAGAGUACUGUAGAGGGGGUAGAAUUUCAGGUGUAGCGGUGAAAUGCGUAGAGAUCUGAAGGAAUACCGGUGGCGAAGGCGGCCCCCUGGACAGAUACUGACACUCAGAUGCGAAAGCGUGGGGAGCAAACAGGAUUAGAUACCCUGGUAG